This 497-nucleotide ribosomal RNA is filed under the name uncultured bacterium. RNAcentral describes it as "partial 16S ribosomal RNA". It matches the Rfam family "Bacterial small subunit ribosomal RNA", at positions 28 to 507 of the family's 1533-position model. The record is from RNAcentral.
GAUGAACGCUGGCGGCGUGCCUAAUACAUGCAAGUCGAGCGAACAGACGAGGAGCUUGCUCCUCUGACGUUAGCGGCGGACGGGUGAGUAACACGUGGAUAACCUACCUAUAAGACUGGGAUAACUUCGGGAAACCGGCGCUAAUACCGGAUAAUAUAUUGAACCGCAUGGUUCAAUAGUGAAAGACGGUUUUGCUGUCACUUAUAGAUGGAUCCGCGCCGCAUUAGCUAGUUGGUAAGGUAACGGCUUACCAAGGCAACGAUGCGUAGCCGACCUGAGAGGGUGAUCGGCCACACUGGAACUGGGACACGGUCCAGACUCCUACGGGAGGCAGCAGUAGGGAAUCUUCCGCAAUGGGCGAAAGCCUGACGGAGCAACGCCGCGUGAGUGAUGAAGGUCUUCGGAUCGUAAAACUCUGUUAUUAGGGAAGAACAAAUGUGUAAGUAACUAUGCACGUCUUGACGGUACCUAAUCAGAAAGCCACGGCUAACUACGUG